Molecule: ribosomal RNA, 459 nt
Filed under: uncultured bacterium
Lineage: Bacteria
Description: partial 16S ribosomal RNA
Rfam family: Bacterial small subunit ribosomal RNA
Source: RNAcentral
CCUACGGGUGGCUGCAGUGAGGAAUAUUGGUCAAUGGUCGCGAGCCUGAACCAGCCAAGCCGCGUGAGGGAAGAAGGUACUAUGUAUUGUAAACCUCUUUUGUCGGGGAGCAAAAGCUGCCACGCGUGGCGUUCCGAGAGUACCCGAAGAAAAAGCAUCGGCUAACUCCGUGCCAGCAGCCGCGGUAAUACGGAGGAUGCGAGCGUUAUCCGGAUUUAUUGGGUUUAAAGGGUGAGCAGGCGGAAUAUAAAGUCAGCGGUCAAAUUGAGCGGCUCAACCUCUUCGAGCCGUUGAAACUGGUAGUCUGGAGUUAGCGAGAAGUAUGCGGAAUGCGUGGUGUAGCGGUGAAAUGCAUAGAUAUCACGCAGAACUCCGAUUGCGAAGGCAGCAUACCGGCGCUAAACUGACGCUGAGGCACGAAAGUGUGGGUAUCGAACAGGAUUAGAUACCCCAGUAGUC